RNAcentral lists this ribosomal RNA (476 nucleotides) under uncultured bacterium. RNAcentral describes it as "partial 16S ribosomal RNA". It matches the Rfam family "Bacterial small subunit ribosomal RNA", at positions 28 to 506 of the family's 1533-position model. The record is from RNAcentral.
GAUUAACGCUGGCGGCGUGCAUAACACAUGCAAGUCGAACGAUGAAACUUAAAUGAUUUCUUCGGAAUGAACUUAAGUGGAUUAGUGGCGGACGGGUGAGUAACGCGUGAGUAACCUGCCUUACACAAGGGGAUAGCCGUUGGAAACGACGAAUAAUACCCUAUGAAACUAUCACUUCGCAUGAAGCAAUAGUCAAAGUGUUAGCGGUGUAAGAUGGACUUGCGUCUGAUUAGCUAGUUGGUGAGAAAAAAGCCCACCAAGGCAACGAUCAGUAGCCGGCUUGAGAGAGUGUACGGCCACAUUGGGACUGAGGCACGGCCCAGACUCCUACGGGAGGCAGCAGUGGGGAAUUUUGCACAAUGGGGGAAACCCUGAUGCAGCGACGCCGCGUGAUUUAGAAGGCCUUCGGGUUGUAAAAAUCUUUUGUAUAGGAAGAAAAUGACAGUACUAUACGAAUAAGGUCCGGCUAAUUACGU